RNAcentral lists this long non-coding RNA (1215 nucleotides) under Oncorhynchus mykiss (rainbow trout). RNAcentral describes it as "lncRNA (ENSOMYG00000069561.1)". Lineage: Eukaryota; Metazoa; Chordata; Actinopteri; Salmoniformes; Salmonidae. The record is from RNAcentral.
AUGAGCCGCCAGAGUCUCCCGUCUGUCAUGAGCCGCCAGAGUCUCCCGUCUGUCCAGAGCCGCCAGAGUCUCCCGUCUGUCCAGAGCCGCCAGAGUCUCCCGUCUGUCCAGAGCCGCCAGAGUCUCCCGUCUGUCCAGAGCCGCCAGAGUCUCCCGUCUGUCCAGAGCCGCCAGAGUCUCCCGUCUGUCCAGAGCCGCCAGAGUCUCCCGUCUGUCCAGAGCCGCCAGAGUCUCCCGUCUGUCCAGAGCCGCCAGAGUCUCCCGUCUGUCCAGAGCCGCCAGAGUCUCCCGUCUGUCCAGAGCCGCCAGAGUCUCCCGUCUGUCCAGAGCCGCCAGAGUCUCCCGUCUGUCCAGAGCCGCCAGAGUCUCCCGUCUGUCCAGAGCCGCCAGAGUCUCCCGUCUGUCCAGAGCCGCCAGAGUCUCCCGUCUGUCAUGAGCCGCCAGAGUCUCCCGUCUGUCAUGAGCCGCCAGAGUCGCCAGUCAGCAUGGAUCCGCCAGUCAGCCAGGAUCCGCCAGAGCCGCCGGUCAGCCAGGAUCCGCCAGAGCCGCCGGUCAGCCAGGAUCCGCCAGAGCCGCCGGUCAGCCAGGAUCCGCCAGGAUCCGCCAGAGCCGCCAGUCAGCCAGGAUCCGCCAGAGCCGCCAGUCAGCCAGGAUCCGCCAGAGCCGCCAGUCAGCCAGGAACCGUCAGAGCCGCCAUUCAGCCAGGAUCCGCCAGAGCCACCAUUCAGCCAGGAUCCGCCAGAGCCGUCAACCUGCCUGAGCUACCUCUUAGUCCUGAGCUACCCCUCAGUCCUGAGCUACCCCUCGGUCCUGAGCUUCCUCAGUAAUGAGGCACCCCUUAGUCCAGGUGGGUCCUUUGUUAGGGUUACUAGGCCAAGGUCGACGGCGAGGGUCGCCACUCAAAGGACGCUAAAAAAGCGGACUAAGACUAUGGUGGAGUGGGGUCCACGUCCCGCGCCGGUGCCGCCACAGUGGAAGGCCGGAUCACCGACAAUGAUGAGACAGCCUCAAUGUGAGCAAGACAAAGGAGUUGAUCAUGGACUACAGGAAAAUGCCGAGCAGCCCCCCAUUAAUCGAUGGGGUUGUAGUGGAGCGGUGUCUACAUCACCAACGAACUAUCAUGAUCCAAACACACCAAGACAGUCUCCCCUCAGGAGACUGAAAAGAUUUGGCAUGGGUCUCCAGAUCCUCAAAUGUCUUCAGCUGCACCAUUGA